GACGAACGCUGGCGGCGUGCUUAACACAUGCAAGUCGAACGGUGCAGCUCCAGCUUGCUGGAGUGGAUCAGUGGCGAACGGGUGAGUAACACGUGAGCAACCUGCCCCUGACUCUGGAAUAAGCGCUGGAAACGGCGUCUAAUACUGGAUACGAGAAGGGUCCGCAUGGGCACCUUCUGGAAAGUUUUUCGGUUGGGGAUGGGCUCGCGGCCUAUCAGCUUGUUGGUGGGGUAAUGGCUCACCAAGGCGACGACGGGUAGCCGGCCUGAGAGGGCGACCGGCCACACUGGGACUGAGACACGGCCCAGACUCCUCCGGGAGGCAGCAGUGGGGAAGAUUGCCCAAUGGGCGAAAGCCUGAUGCAGCGACGCCGCGUGGGGGAAGACAGCCUUCGGGUUGGAAACCUCUUUCAGCAGGGAAGAAGCGAAAGUGACGGUACCUGCAGAAGAAGCACCGGCUAACUACGUG
RNAcentral lists this ribosomal RNA (468 nucleotides) under uncultured bacterium. Its description in RNAcentral is "partial 16S ribosomal RNA". It matches the Rfam family "Bacterial small subunit ribosomal RNA", at positions 28 to 507 of the family's 1533-position model. The record is from RNAcentral.